This 1515-nucleotide ribosomal RNA is filed under the name uncultured Bacteriovoracaceae bacterium. RNAcentral describes it as "bacterial SSU rRNA". It matches the Rfam family "Bacterial small subunit ribosomal RNA". Lineage: Bacteria; Pseudomonadati; Bdellovibrionota; Bacteriovoracia; Bacteriovoracales; Bacteriovoracaceae. The record is from RNAcentral.
AGAGUUUGAUCCUGGCUCAGAACGAACGCUGGCGGCGUGCCUCAUACAUGCAAGUCGAACGAGAAAGCUCUUCGGAGUGAUUAGAGUGGCGCACGGGUGAGUAACACGUAGGUGACCUGCCUUUUAGUGGGGAAUAACCGGUGGAAACGCCGGCUAAUACCGCAUGUGCUGGCCGACCUUGGAAAAGGUCAGCAAAGGGGGCGGCUUCGGCCGCUCUCGCCAGAAGAUGGGCCUGCGCAACAUUAGCUUGAUGGUGGGGUAACGGCUUACCAUGGCGAUGAUGUUUAGCCGGUCUGAGAGGAUGAUCGGCCACACUGGAACUGAGACACGGUCCAGACUCCUACGGGAGGCAGCAGUAGGGAAUAUUGCGCAAUGGGGGAAACCCUGACGCAGCAACGCCGCGUGAGUGAGGAAGGCCUUCGGGUUGUAAAGCUCUGUUAAGAGGGAAGAACGGCAUGGGGGCUCAUACCCUCCGUGUGUGACGGUACCUCUAGAGGAAGCACCGGCUAACUUCGUGCCAGCAGCCGCGGUAAUACGAAGGGUGCAAGCGUUGUUCGGAUUUAUUGGGCGUAAAGCGCGCGCAGGCGGACGGUCAAGUCAGAUGUGAAAUCUCGGGGCCCAACCCCGAAACUGCGUCUGAAACUGGCCGUCUAGAGUCUCGGAGGGGGAUGGGGAAUUUCGCAUGUAGGGGUAAAAUCCGUAGAGAUGCGAAGGAACACCUGUGGGGAAGCCGCCAUCCUGGACGAGAACUGACGCUGAGGCGCGAAAGCGUGGGGAGCAAACAGGAUUAGAUACCCUGGUAGUCCACGCCGUAAACGAUGAGCACUAGUCGUUGGGGGUUUUGAUCCCCUCGGUGACGCAGCUAACGCAAUAAGUGCUCCGCCUGGGGAGUACGGUCGCAAGACUAAAACUCAAAGGAAUUGACGGGGGCCCGCACAAGCGGUGGAUCAUGUGGUUUAAUUCGAAGCAACGCGAAAAACCUUACCCGGACUUGAAAUCCCGGGAAUUCUCCAGAGAUGGAGAAGUGCCCUUCGGGGAACCCGGUGACAGGUGCUGCAUGGCUGUCGUCAGCUCGUGUUGUGAAAUGUUGGGUUAAGUCUCGCAACGAGCGCAACCCCUAUUCCUAGUUGCCAGCAUUGAGUUGGGCACUCUAGGGAGACUGCCCGGGUGAACCGGGAGGAAGGUGGGGAUGACGUCAAGUCCUCAUGGCCCUUAUGUCCGGGGCUACACACGUGAUACAAUGGUGCAUACAGAGGGAAGCGAACCGGCGACGGGGAGCAGAUCUCAAAAAGUGCAUCUCAGUCCGGAUUGGAGUCUGCAACUCGACUCCAUGAAGUUGGAAUCGCUAGUAAUCGCGGAUCAGCAUGCCGCGGUGAAUACGUUCUCGGGCCUUGUACACACCGCCCGUCAAACCAUGGGAGUCGGCCUUACCUGAAGCUGUGACCCUAACCUUCGGGGGGGGAGCAUCUACGGUCGGGCCGAUGACUGGGGUUAAGUCGUAACAAGGUAGCCGUA